CGUUCUCAGUUCGGACUGUAGGCCGCAACUCGCCUACACGAAGCUGGAAUCGCUAGUAAUCGCGGAUCAGCACGCCGCGGUGAAUACGUUCCCGGGCCUUGUACACACCGCCCGUCACACCAUGAGAGUUGAGAAUACCCGAAGCCCAUGUCAAAGUGGUCGAAGGUAGGCUUGAUGAUUGGGGUGAAGUCGUAACAAGGUACC
Molecule: ribosomal RNA, 204 nt
Filed under: uncultured bacterium
Lineage: Bacteria
Description: partial 16S ribosomal RNA
Rfam family: Bacterial small subunit ribosomal RNA
Source: RNAcentral